This 375-nucleotide unclassified non-coding RNA is filed under the name uncultured fungus. RNAcentral describes it as "sequence contains ITS1". The stretch from base 1 to 101 matches the Rfam family "5.8S ribosomal RNA", at positions 50 to 154 of the family's 154-position model. The record is from RNAcentral. Lineage: Eukaryota; Fungi.
GAAAUGCGAUACGUAAUGCGAAUUGCAGAAACUUGUGAGUCAUCAAAACUUUGAACGCAACUUGCACUUCCUUUCGAGGGAGUAUGUCUGUUGGAGUGUCUGUUCAUCCCCACUUCUCUCCAUUUUUGGUAAGAAGCGCCGGCCGCUUGUCGCACGUCCCUCGGGGCGACGGAUGAGUGCGCCUAGAUGAAAGACCAACGAUCAAACGAACUCGCCCCUGCUUCACCCACUCCGGUGGGUUAGCUCGGUCGACGCGACGUGAAAGGUCUCGUACCUCAACAACGCGUCUUCAUUUCAAACGAGCUGUGCGAGCCUCGGCACCAAGAGUUCAUCCGACCGGACCUCCAAUCAGACAAGAUUACCCGCUGAAUUUAA